AGGUAACAUGGUGAGGGCACCUUCUCAAUAAGUUCUUAUACCUCUCCCAUGCAUCAUAUAAGGUUUCUAACUCGAUUUAAACGAAGGAAGAGAUAUCAUUCCUCAACUU
This is a small nucleolar RNA of Gossypium raimondii (Peruvian cotton), 109 nucleotides long. It matches the Rfam family "Plant small nucleolar RNA R71". From Rfam's summary of the family: R71 is a member of the C/D box family of snoRNAs containing the C (UGAUGA) and D (CUGA) box motifs. Multiple nearly identical copies of this snoRNA have been identified in Arabidopsis, and it is thought to function as a 2'-O-ribose methylation guide for 18S ribosomal RNA. The record is from Rfam. Lineage: Eukaryota; Viridiplantae; Streptophyta; Magnoliopsida; Malvales; Malvaceae.